GUUAUCCUACGGGGCGCAGCAGUGGGGGAUAUUGCACAAUGGGGGAAACCCUGAUGCAGCGACGCCGCGUGAAGGAAGAAGUAUUUCGGUAUGUAAACUUCUAUCAGCAGGGAAGAAAAUGACGGUACCUGACUAAGAAGCCCCGGCUAACUACGUGCCAGCAGCCGCGGUAAUACGUAGGGGGCAAGCGUUAUCCGGAUUUACUGGGUGUAAAGGGAGCGUAGGCGGUUUAGCAAGUCAGAAGUGAAAGCCCGGGGCUCAACUCCGGGACUGCUUUUGAAACUGUUGAACUAGAUUGCAGUGGG
This 305-nucleotide ribosomal RNA is filed under the name uncultured bacterium. RNAcentral's name for it is "bacterial SSU rRNA". It matches the Rfam family "Bacterial small subunit ribosomal RNA", at positions 333 to 655 of the family's 1533-position model. The record is from RNAcentral.